Molecule: ribosomal RNA, 468 nt
Filed under: uncultured bacterium
Lineage: Bacteria
Description: partial 16S ribosomal RNA
Rfam family: Bacterial small subunit ribosomal RNA
Source: RNAcentral
GACGAACGCUGGCGGCGUGCUUAACACAUGCAAGUCGAACGGAAAGGCCCUGCUUUUGUGGGGUGCUCGAGUGGCGAACGGGUGAGUAACACGUGAGUAACCUGCCCUUGACUUUGGGAUAACUUCAGGAAACUGGGGCUAAUACCGGAUAGGAGCUCCUGCUGCAUGGUGGGGGUCGGAAAGUUUCGGCGGUUGGGGAUGGACUCGCGGCUUAUCAGCUUGUUGGUGGGGUAGUGGCUUACCAAGGCUUUGACGGGUAGCCGGCCUGAGAGGGUGACCGGCCACAAUGGGACUGAGAUACGGCCCAGACUCCUACGGGAGGCAGCAGGGGGGAAUAUUGCAAAAUGGGCGCAAGCCGGAUGCAGCAACGCCGCGUGCGGGAUGACGGCCUUCGGGUUGUAAACCGAUUUCGCCUGUGACGAAGCGUGAGUGACGGUAAUGGGUAAAGAAGCACCGGGUAACUACGUG